CCUACGGGGUGCAGCAGUGAGGAAUAUUGGUCAAUGGCCGCAGGGCUGAACCAGCCAAGUCGCGUGAGGGAUGACGGUCCUAUGGAUUGUAAACCUCUUUUGUCAGGGAGCAAAGGGCGCCACGUGUGGCGCUUUGCGAGUACCUGAAGAAAAAGCAUCGGCUAACUCCGUGCCAGCAGCCGCGGUAAUACGGAGGAUGCGAGCGUUAUCCGGAUUUAUUGGGGUUAAAGGGUGCGCAGGCGGAAUGUCAAGUCAGCGGUAAAAUUUCGGGGCUCAACCCCGUCGUGCCGUUGAAACUGGCGUUCUUGAGUGAGCGAGAAGUAUGCGGAAUGCGUGGUGUAGCGGUGAAAUGCAUAGAUAUCACGCAGAACUCCGAUUGCGAAGGCAGCAUACCGGCGCUCAACUGACGCUCAUGCACGAAAGCGUGGGUAUCGAACAGGAUUAGAUACCCCUGUAGUC
This 459-nucleotide ribosomal RNA is filed under the name uncultured bacterium. RNAcentral describes it as "partial 16S ribosomal RNA". It matches the Rfam family "Bacterial small subunit ribosomal RNA", at positions 338 to 795 of the family's 1533-position model. The record is from RNAcentral.